RNAcentral lists this transfer RNA (76 nucleotides) under Candidatus Kaiserbacteria bacterium. RNAcentral's name for it is "tRNA-Lys". It matches the Rfam family "tRNA". Rfam says of the family: Transfer RNA (tRNA) molecules are approximately 80 nucleotides in length. Their secondary structure includes four short double-helical elements and three loops (D, anti-codon, and T loops). Further hydrogen bonds mediate the characteristic L-shaped molecular structure. tRNAs have two regions of fundamental functional importance: the anti-codon, which is responsible for specific mRNA codon recognition, and the 3' end, to which the tRNAs corresponding amino acid is attached (by aminoacyl-tRNA synthetases). tRNAs cope with the degeneracy of the genetic code in two manners: having more than one tRNA (with a specific anti-codon) for a particular amino acid; and 'wobble' base-pairing, i.e. permitting non-standard base-pairing at the 3rd anti-codon position. Lineage: Bacteria; Candidatus Kaiseribacteriota. The record is from RNAcentral.
CCGCCCAUAGCUCAGCCGGUAGAGCGGCAGCCUUUUAAGCUGAUGGUCCCAGGUUCGAUCCCUGGUGGGCGGACCA